This 1011-nucleotide ribosomal RNA is filed under the name Triticum aestivum (bread wheat). RNAcentral's name for it is "partial small subunit ribosomal RNA". The record is from RNAcentral. Lineage: Eukaryota; Viridiplantae; Streptophyta; Magnoliopsida; Poales; Poaceae.
AUGGCCGGAAUUGUCAACAAGGAGUUUCCUAAGUUGGCCCAGACAGGGCUAAACUACCUGUCAUGGUCCUCGGACUGCGAGAUUUUUCUCCAGGGAAAAACCCUCCUGAGGGCGAUCGGUAAGGGGGCCCAGCUGGCCGCCACUGAUCCCAAGUUUGAAACUGAGAAUGCGUCUGCACUUCUCCGUCAUCACCUGUCACCUACUCUGAAAGAUGAGUAUAUGGCCGAGCGCAGUGCUUCUGGCCUUUGGACCGCUCUUAAGCAGCGGUUUGAGCGGCUGAAGUACACUGUGAAGCCACGUGCAGAGUCAGAGUGGAUCCGUCUGAGGUUUGUGGACUUCAAGACGAAGAUUGAGAAAACCCUAUCCACUUUCCACCCCGACGCGGUCUAGUCCUCACGGAACUACCGCCAGGGGAACUACACGAGGUAUUCAGAGUUGAUUGACGUCCUCCAGGUGGUGGAGGCGUAGAACGAGGUUCUCAAAAAGAACUUUGUCGCGCAACCACUUGGGGGGAGUUCUCGCCAGGAGGUGAACACUCUCAAAGUCCGCAAACCUCAACAGAAGAAGAGGGGCCGCAAGGGCAAGAAGAAGGGCCCUCACCCCCGCCCCGGGGCAGAGACCUCAUGCUGCUUCCGUUGUGGCUCGGUGGAGCAUUUCUCCCGCCAGUGCCGCGCACCACCGGAGGUCAUUGAAGCAUACAAGGCUCGGAAGGCGUGUGAGACACACCUCGCCUUGGUUCAGGAGGGAGCAUCACCGGCACCCAUGGCGUCACCCAUGAUGACCUCUACGCCCCCUGUUGCGCCCAUAGAGGCGAACCCCGUGGUGCCCAUCGCGGCAGCUUUGGCGGUCUCUACCGACACCCACGUUGCCAUGGAGGUUGACCACAUGGUCGCCUCAGCGGUGCCGCCACUAGACAUUGAUGCUGCCUCCAAGAUGAUUUCUAAGGAGGAUCAGCUCACUAGUAUGGAGAUUGCGGCUGAAGUGAAUGGCUUCUUCACCGGGUCCACUUAG